Molecule: non-coding RNA, 587 nt
Organism: Salvelinus sp. IW2-2015
Lineage: Eukaryota; Metazoa; Chordata; Actinopteri; Salmoniformes; Salmonidae
Source: RefSeq, a predicted model, not a curated record
AACCAGCACAAGCCUGGUCUGCAGUACCGUCUGACGGGUCAGAGCGGUCCAGUGCACUUCCCGGUGUUCACCAUGUCCGUAGACGUGGACGGCGAUACAUACGAGGCCUCGGGGCCGUCCAAACGCACCGCCAAACUCCACCUAGCUGCCAAGGUCCUGCAGAAGUUGGGCCUGCCCACUGGGGCGGAUGUGAAGAUUGAACCAGGCGAAGAGGGAGGAGCCAACGUACCAUCCACACCUACAGCAAGUGAUGCGUCCAUGGCAUCUGACGAGAACGGCCCCCAUCCUCACUAAGCACGGGAAGAACCCAGUUAUGGAGCUGAACGAGAAGAGACGCAGCCUGAAGUACGAGCUCUCUGCUGAGACCGGGGGCAGCCAUGACAAGUGCUUCGUCAUGGGAGGUCAGUCAUGGCAGAUGGGCGGGGUUUGCACGCUUGGGACAAUCCUAUCGAUUCAUUGCGCAAGGAUUUGGAAACUACUGUAGAUGAAUAACCAGUAAGGUUGGGGCUCGUAUCAACAAAGCAUCUCAGAGUAGAAGUGGUGAUCUAGGAUCCAGGUCCCCCAUGUUUAUGUAGAAUCUUAUUCUU